This 407-nucleotide ribosomal RNA is filed under the name uncultured bacterium. RNAcentral describes it as "partial 16S ribosomal RNA". It matches the Rfam family "Bacterial small subunit ribosomal RNA", at positions 29 to 526 of the family's 1533-position model. The record is from RNAcentral.
AUUGAACGCUGGCGGCAGGCCUAACACAUGCAAGUCGAGCGGAGCGGCGGACGGGUGAGUAAUGCCUAGGAAUCUGCCUGGUAGUGGGGGAUAACGUCCGGAAACGGGCGCUAAUACCGCAUACUAUCAGAUGAGCCUAGGUCGGAUUGGCUAGUUGGUGGGGUAAAGGCCUACCAAGGCGACGCGCCGUAACUGGUCUGAGAGGAUGAUCAGUCACACUGGAACGGAGACAAGGUCCAGACUCCGACGGGAGGCAGCAGGGGGGAAUAUGGGACAAUGGGCGAAAGGCUGAUCCAGCCAGGCCGCGUGUGUGAAGAAGGUCUUCGGAGUGUAAAGGACUUUAAGUUGGGAGGCGUUACCAACAGAAUAAGCACCGGCUAACUUCGUGCCAGCCGCCGCGGUAAUUC